AAAAAAAAAAAAAAAAAGAAGGAUUAAAAUGGGAUUAAGCUAGAACAGCAUUAUUGAUGCGAAGAGCAGAAACGAUAAGGAAACACUAAGAGCUAGUUAACCUCAGAAACUAUGAAAAUCAUUGAGCUAAAGCAAAUCCCAGAAACUAUGAAGAGAGGCAUACAACUUGCAAAGCUGAAAAUUAAAGAAGCAAGGCAUAAAAGGGUUAAAAAAUAAUAAGAAGAAGAAAUCCAAGCACAAGUAUAACCAGGAAAAGCAACAGAGAUAGAUGAAUGGAAAGGAAGGAAGAGGAGCUAAGAAA
RNAcentral lists this unclassified non-coding RNA (301 nucleotides) under Hevea brasiliensis (rubber tree). Lineage: Eukaryota; Viridiplantae; Streptophyta; Magnoliopsida; Malpighiales; Euphorbiaceae. The record is from RNAcentral.